AAAGCAAGGCCCCGCCUCCGCCCUCGCGUGCCUGUGAGAGGCCGCGGAGGAGCCCCGCGCGCAGAGCCUCCCUUCGCCCGGCGAGCGGGCUGCGCGCCCCUCGGCCCGCCGCGCUACCUCACAGGGUUGCUAGGAGGAGGAGGAGAACGCAAGAGGAGGCCCAAGGCCGCUCUCGCCGUGGCCGGACGGGUCGUUUUAAGACCCCGCCUUUGUUAUCCCAAGGAGCUCAAGGUGGCGCAGUGACCCUCACAGACAACCCUGCGAGGGGCAAGGAUGAAAAAGAUCUACACAAAUGAAGAAAUUCAAGUUUUUAAAGAAAAAAGAAAACCAAGCAGCUUCAGUGCACAGAAUGCUAACUGACAGUUGCAGGAAUGGUAUGACUUGAAGCAAAACAGACUGUUCAUAUGACAAUGUUUUGUUGCAGGAACCCUACUGGUUCUAAAAAAAAUUAAAAUAAGGCCCUGAUUCUCAUUUCCAAUAAUUCUGUAUUCACUCACCAGAACACUGGAAGGCAGGAGCAUAUUCACAUCUCAGUG
Long non-coding RNA from Podarcis raffonei (Aeolian wall lizard), 536 nucleotides. RefSeq lists it as uncharacterized. NCBI's taxonomy places the organism in Eukaryota, Metazoa, Chordata, Lepidosauria, Squamata, Lacertidae. The record is from RefSeq and is a predicted model, not a curated record. The transcript is spliced from 3 exons.